UGUGUGUAGAUUGAUGAGGAACAAAAACUAUUUAAUGCAUUUUAUAAUAAGGCUGUAACCUAACAAAUUGUGGAUACUUUCCGAAUGCACUGUAUGUGUAUGUCAUUGGAGUCCACACUGGCACAUAUUCACACACAUACACACACACACACUCUUAGUAUGGGGGGGGUAAGCUUGCCAUGUCUAUGCAGAGUGUUUGUGUGUUUUAUCACAAGCCGAAGGAGUUUCCACACACACUCACACACACUUGCUCUUGUUGACGGAGGAAAUUCAUGGCGUGUAGUUUUUGUGCAGAAGAAUCCUUAAAAAGAGGAAGAGAGUCGUCAAACACUUAUCUGUUCACUCGGCCACUCAAUCUACUUAGUGUGCAGCAAUAGUUCUGUGUAUGUUUCCGAAUACGUCUUUCACAUUAUUUUGCAUGUUGAAGAUUAUUAAUCAUAUGCUAGAACGCAAAGAAAGGCACAUGUAUAUUCUUAUUAUUACACUGAUAUACUUGACCAUGCCAACUGAAUAGCCUUACUCUUCCUGUACAUACAGAACAUAGAGGGAAAGGGGAAACCUAGUCAGUUGCACAACUGAAUGCAUUCAACCAAAAUGUGUCUUCCGCAUUUGACCCAACCCCUCUGAAUCAGAGAGGUGCGGGCUGACUUCAUCAACAUCAUUGACCUUUCAGUUACUGAUCUAACACUCUUAAUCACUAGGCUUCCUGUUGCCCCCUAGAUAGGCCUAAUGCAAUAGUCUUCCUGUGACAAUUAGCUAGAUCGAUUUAGAUAUACUAGAUUUGCCAUUUUGGUCAAAGACAGAGAGGGAUGCAUGUAUGACUAUGCAUUUCAAGAUUCCCGUGUGUUUUAAAUCUACAGUACUUUCAAACAACUUUUUAUAAUUUAUAUUGCCAACUGGCAGGUGUCCCAAAUCUAGAACAUGAACCCUUCCCUGCUGCUCCCCUCUUUCUUCUGAUGGUGAACUCUUGAACUCUAGAACCCUAGAACCAAGACUCUCCUCUCCCAGCCCUGAAUCAGUCAAGUAUCAAAUUAAUUAGAUGGAAGAAAUUAAGCUACCAGACCUUACAAGCUACUUGUAACCAACAAUCUUUCAUAUAAUUAGUUUUGACCCAAUCAAAGCCUUUUGAAAGUAGAAGGCUCUCAUUGGCUAACAUGACUCAUCCUGCCCUUUGGUCUUGGUCAAUGAGAGUCAGAUUCAGAGAUGUAUUUCCAUAUCACCUAUACAUGAUUGCAUCCUCUUCUCAUAUUAUGUCAAUACUCAACCAUAUUUUAUGUGUUUUGUUAUUAUUCUUCCCAAAUGCUCAUUCAUAAAUACAGUAUAAGCAGGACUCAUUGUGGAAUAAGACAGAGUUUGGAGACCAAUUUGGCUGGAGAGUUCUCUGGUUGUAGUCCCUAGUUUAUGAUGAGUAAACAGACCAAAACUAUUCCCCUCACCUCCCAGUCCCCAUACUGUGUAACUCAUUCAAUAAAAUAAUUUCUAUAACAUAUCAUGCAUUUUCAUAACUGUGUCCUAGAUAUAUGAUAUGAUAUCAUAUUGGUGGCAGCGUUGGGAUACAGGCUACAGUUAGUCUGGGUACCAGUCUGUUUAGCUAACAUUCCACUCUGUAUUCCGUGUCAUAUGCCAAAGUUUAGCAGAAAGUUUAGCUAAACAGACUUCUAUGGGCACGGGUAAGCCUCGAGCAAGGAGCGAACAACCACUGUAGACACAGAUCUCAGUUAUUUAACGUUAGUUAUUACAGACAGAUCUGGCAUUUCUCCAUCUGGAAAUUACUACUUACAACACAACUGCAAUUUUUUAUUUUAUAUUUGUCCAAGAUAGCUAGGUGCAAAGCUAGCAAGCGAGUAAAUUUAAGAUGCCUCUAGAUCCAGUUCGCCAGCAGAGCAGCCCUCGCCAAAAAGACAGUAAACCAAAAGCUGCCACCAUUGCAGUGGGUGCCGGAUAGACAAUGGUGGUAAAUAUCUCAUUCAAAUUUUAAUUAAUUCAUUAAUGUGGCCACUUAAUUUACUGUAUGGUUAUCGUUAUAAGUUAUGCAUACUUAAUGUUAAUAUUCCUUUACCAUAGGUCCUUCAUUCUCGAAUGUGAAGCCGACUGACCCUAGCAGGAAGGACCAGAGAAAAGUGUUUGCUUAAGGUUUUAAGGUAAUUGGGCCUCUAUUUUAGGAGAGGAAUGACAUGCAUGACCUUCUGUCUCUCCUCUCUACUGAGACCGAUCUGGCCGCAGCAGCGCAGGCCCAGCUCUAACAGUGGUCUUCCCAACCGGCUGUCUUGUUCUGCUCCCCUUUGGCAACAGCUACCGCCACAACAAAAGAGGAUUGCUCUGAAGAGUACCUGCUGGAUACAGAGCACACCUCUGCCAGCCACACCACCACUGCCCUUGACAGCUUCUCCACUGGGCCCAUCAAGAGAUGAGGUCGCGUCUUCAUCUUGGACCACGACCGAUGGACAGAGCCCAUUAGAGCUGCCAGUGAUGGGCUACUGGCCAAUCACCACGAGGAAGAAGAUAUCCUGAAGCGGGUGAAUCUGCUCUGCUCUUAACACCACCCCAGAGAAGCUCCUAGAGACACACAGCUGUGGCAUUAUGUUACUGUAGAGAGUGAAACAGUCAGUGUCCCAGUCAUGUCCUCAGUCAUGUCCCCUGCCACCUACACUUACCCAGCAGAAGGCCUCACCUACUCAACGUUUCCAUUUGAGGAUUUAGCUUCCGCUGCCUCCUUUCAAUGGGAACUGGAGGCCUCGAAGCAGAGGGGGCAGUGAGGAAGGAGCGAACAGAGGAAAGAGAUGAGCAUCCCUCCGGCCGUCUGUACAGGUUCUGCCAGCAGCCGCUGAAACAAAUCUCCAGCCCAUAUCAGCUUUUCUUGAGUGGUAGGAAAAUAUCUACUGCCUAGUGUUUCCCCUGUACAUUGUACAGGGCAUUGGAGGGAGCUCCAACAGUCUGCCUUUUAUGAGACUGAAAAGAAGAGAUGGAUGGUGGAGAAGGGUAGUGACUCUAUACACACGUACACACAGAAAUAAAUAGGAGUUGCAAAUCUAUUGUCAUGGAAAUUACCACCAGGGAUUCAAAGUCAAACUUAAAUGAAUAAUGAUUUAUUUUCAGUUAACUGGAGAGAUUUCAACAAACUUAAUGCACCAUAGUACACGUCGGUCAGGAGCUCUGUCUCUCAAUUGUUCGCGGAUGAUGUGUCUCCUUUUGGGCAGCUCACAGUAAGGGUCUGGGCGGGUCCUCGUUGUCUUUUGGUCUGAUGGAAAUUUCCUUCAUGCUUCAUGAAAUGUGCCACCAGUUUUCCUCGCAGACCCUCACUGGAAAGCUCCGCAGGCAGAAUCAAUCAUCCGGUUCUUGAUGCCAAAUUGUCUUGGAAAUUACCACCAGGGACUCAAAGUCAAACUUAAACGAAUCAUUAUUUAUUGUCAGUUAACUGGAGAAGUUCCAACAAACUUAAUGCACCAUAGUACACGUUGGUCGGGAGCUCUCCGGGGCAGUCCCGUUAGUUCUCUUAUAUACUGCUUACACAGACAAGUUAUAUUUGCAUGAUUUACAUUAUACAUUAUUCCUGAUUAAUUCAUUUGGUUAACUAUCAAAGGAGGUUCUAUCAAAAUACGUCAUUAUAAGUAAGCGAAAUGAACACAUAAAACCAGACACUUCAUCCUUUCAAAUCCUUCGUUCUGGGUUGUGCAAUCCAACUUGUAAAACCAUUGCAGUAGAAUGUUUUAUGCUUCACUACAGGACACUAUUUCCAUUGGUGGAAGUGGUUUGGACUCUCGUUUGAUUUGUAUCUAUUUCACUGUCCAUUAUUUUACAUUUAAUCAGUAAGGCCAGAGGAGGUGUGGUAUAUGGCCAAUAUACCACGGUUAAGGGCUGUUCUUAUGCAAGAUACAACGCAGAGUGCCUGGACACAGCCUUAGUUGUGGCAUAUUGUCCAUAUAUCACAAACCCCAGAGGUGCCUUAUUGCUGUUAUAAACUGGUUACCAGUGUAAUUAGAGCAGUAAAACUACAUGUGCUUUCAGCCAAUCAGAAUUCAGGACUCAAACCACCCAGUUUAUAAUACUGAACAUACAUUGCUGUAUAUUUUGUUGUACAAAGUUUUGUGCUCCAACACUAUCAUAAAUAUGUCUGUGAUUUCAUUAAAGUAAACCUCAAAGUAAAGUAAUAUUCU
This is a long non-coding RNA of Salvelinus namaycush (lake trout), 4154 nucleotides long. RefSeq lists it as uncharacterized. The transcript has 4 exons. NCBI's taxonomy places the organism in Eukaryota, Metazoa, Chordata, Actinopteri, Salmoniformes, Salmonidae. The record is from RefSeq and is a predicted model, not a curated record.